GGACCCGCACAAGCGGUGGAGCAUGUGGUUUAAUUCGAUGCAACGCGAAGAACCUUACCUGGUCUUGACAUCCUGCGAACUUUCUAGAAAUAGAUUGGUGCCUUCGGGAACGCAGUGACAGGUGCUGCAUGGCUGUCGUCAGCUCGUGUCGUGAGAUGUUGGGUUAAGUCCCGCAACGAGCGCAACCCUCGUCCUAUGUUGCCAGCACGUAAUGGUGGGAACUCAUGGGAUACUGCCGGGGUCAACUCGGAGGAAGGCGGGGAUGACGUCAAGUCCUCAUGGCCCUUACGGGUAGGGCUACACACGUGCUACAAUGGCAGUGACAAUGGGAUAAUCCCCAAAAGCUGUCUCAGUUCGGAUUGUCGGCUGCAACUCGCCGGCAUG
This 384-nucleotide ribosomal RNA is filed under the name uncultured bacterium. RNAcentral's name for it is "bacterial SSU rRNA". It matches the Rfam family "Bacterial small subunit ribosomal RNA", at positions 917 to 1322 of the family's 1533-position model. The record is from RNAcentral.